Molecule: ribosomal RNA, 408 nt
Filed under: uncultured bacterium
Lineage: Bacteria
Description: partial 16S ribosomal RNA
Rfam family: Bacterial small subunit ribosomal RNA
Source: RNAcentral
AUUGAACGCUGGCGGCGUGCUUAACACAUGCAAGUCGAACGAAGUGGCGAACGGGUGAGGAAUACGUGCGUAACCUGCCCUCCUUUUGGGGAUAAGCCCUGGAGACUGGGUCUAAUACCGAGUAACGGGGGAUGGGCUCGCGGCCUAUCAGCUUGUUGGCGGGGUGAUGGCCGACCAAGGCGGUGACGGGCAGCCGGCCUAGGAGGGUGACCGGCCAUGUUGGGACUGAGUUACGGCCCAGACGUCUACGGGAGGCAGCAGUGGGGGGUAUGGCACAAUGGGCGAAAGCCUGAUGCAGCGACGACGCGUGGGGGAUGAAGGCUUUCGGGUUGUAAACCUCUUUCGCUAUCGAAAGGGUAGGUGGAGAAGAAGCGCCGGCUAACUACGUGCCAGCAGCCGCGGUAAUAC